UGUCCCCUUGACAUCCUCAGCAUCCUCUUUGGAGAGAGGAAAGUGAAGUAGAACUUGCAGGAUUCCAGCAAGGCCAUUAGCUGCUCCCCAGUACCUUGUCCCAUGCCAUCUGUACAUCAGGGGGCAGGCUGGAUUAUCAGAUGAUCCUGCCCUGCCCCCAGCUAACACAGCAUCAACAACAGGCAUGAGAAGAUCACUUGGCAAUGUCCCUUCUCCUAGACGUUGAUUCAGAAACAAAGCAGACCAUAAAAAUCCAGCUCGCCCAUACAUAAGGUCAUAUGACAUUCCAAAACCGCCUUCCUCUGGUCCGAUUGGGAGCGCUCUCUCUUGUGCUACCUCAAGGAAGAGGUUCAAAAACAGGUCGCGUCGUCGUUGAUCUCCUUUGUAAUUAGCAAUCACAGCUCCAAGAGCAUAUAUUCCACCUCUACCACAUAAAAAGGUCACAUGCCUCGAAGAUGCAGGUGCAACAGCGGCACACGUGUCAACGAUCUCCGAGCAUAACAACAAGUCUUUCUGGUUACCGGUAACCUCGUACGACCGCAAGCAGGUGAAAGCCGUUCCCAGCAGACCCGAAUAAACCGUCGGGUCAACAACCGUAUCCGUACCCACACUACUACCACGACCUCCUGUCCACGUCAUCUCCACCACCUGGUCCUUGAGAGAAAUGGCUGCUUUGAGAAAAGAUUCGUUAGGAAGUGAAAAAUUGGCAGCCGUUAGAUCCAUAUGAAGAAUAAAAUCUAGCCGUUCGUUGUUCUUAUCGCCGUCCUCAUGGCUCUCUUGAGAAGCAAACUCCACAGCAGGAGACAUGGCAUCUCUCACGGACUCUUAAAAAC
This 833-nucleotide unclassified non-coding RNA is filed under the name Hevea brasiliensis (rubber tree). The record is from RNAcentral. Lineage: Eukaryota; Viridiplantae; Streptophyta; Magnoliopsida; Malpighiales; Euphorbiaceae.